CCCUUAGAUGUUCUGGGCUGCACGCGCGCUACACUGAUGCGCUCAACGAGUUUACGACCUUGCCCGGAAGGGUUGGGUAAUCUUUUUAAAACGCAUCGUGAUGGGGAUAGAUUAUUGCAAUUAUUAAUCUUUAACGAGGAAUUCCUAGUAAGCGCGAGUCAUCAGCUCGUACUGAUUACGUCCCUGCCCUUUGUACACACCGCCCGUCGCUCCUACCGAUUGAAUGAUCCGGUGAAUAAUUCGGACUGCAGCAGUGUUCAGUUCCUGAACGUUGCAGCGGAAAGUUUAGUGAACCUUAUCACUUAGAGGAAGGAGAAGUCGUAACA
RNAcentral lists this ribosomal RNA (326 nucleotides) under uncultured eukaryote. RNAcentral's name for it is "partial 18S ribosomal RNA". It matches the Rfam family "Eukaryotic small subunit ribosomal RNA", at positions 1470 to 1796 of the family's 1831-position model. The record is from RNAcentral.